GAUGAACGCUGGCGGCGUGCCUAAUACAUGCAAGUCGAGCGAACAGACGAGGAGCUUGCUCCUCUGACGUUAGCGGCGGACGGGUGAGUAACACGUGGAUAACCUACCUAUAAGACUGGGAUAACUUCGGGAAACCGGAGCUAAUACCGGAUAAUAUAUUGAACCGCAUGGUUCAAUAGUGAAAGACGGUUUUGCUGUCACUUAUAGAUGGAUCCGCGCCGCAUUAGCUAGUUGGUAAGGUAACGGCUUACCAAGGCGACGAUGCGUAGCCGACCUGGGAGGGUGAUAGGCAAAACUGGAACGGAGAAAGGGUCCAGAAUCCAACGGGAGGAAGCAGUAGGAAAUCUUCCGCAAUGGGCGAAAGCCUGACGGAGCAACGCCGCGUGAGGGAUGAAGGUCUUCGGAUCGUAAAACUCUGUUAUUAGGGAAGAAAAAAUGUGUAAGUAACGAUGCAAGUAUGGACGGUACCUAAUCAGAAAGCCACGGCUAACUACGU
Molecule: ribosomal RNA, 496 nt
Filed under: uncultured bacterium
Lineage: Bacteria
Description: partial 16S ribosomal RNA
Rfam family: Bacterial small subunit ribosomal RNA
Source: RNAcentral